GACGAACGCUGGCGGCGUGCCUAAUACAUGCAAGUAGAACGCUGAAGCGAGGAGCUUGCUCUUCUUGGAUGAGUUGCGAACGGGUGAGUAACGCGUAGGUAACCUGCCUUGUAGCGGGGGAUAACUAUUGGAAACGAUAGCUAAUACCGCAUAACAAUGGAUGACACAUGUCAUUUAUUUGAAAGGGGCAAUUGUUCCACUACAAGAUGGACCUGCGUUGUAUUAGCUAGUAGGUGAGGUAAUGGCUCACCUAGGCGACGAUACAUAGCCGACCUGAGAGGGUGAUCGGCCACACUGGGACUGAGACACGGCCCAGACUCCUACGGGAGGCAGCAGUAGGGAAUCUUCGGCAAUGGGGGCAACCCUGACCGAGCAACGCCGCGUGAGUGAAGAAGGUUUUCGGAUCGUAAAGCUCUGUUGUAAGUCAAGAACGGGUGUGAGAGUGGAAAGUGCACACUGUGACGGUAGCUUACCAGAAAGGGACGGCUAACUACGU
RNAcentral lists this ribosomal RNA (496 nucleotides) under uncultured bacterium. RNAcentral describes it as "partial 16S ribosomal RNA". It matches the Rfam family "Bacterial small subunit ribosomal RNA", at positions 28 to 506 of the family's 1533-position model. The record is from RNAcentral.